This 319-nucleotide ribosomal RNA is filed under the name Lamproderma ovoideum. RNAcentral describes it as "bacterial SSU rRNA". It matches the Rfam family "Eukaryotic small subunit ribosomal RNA", at positions 80 to 350 of the family's 1831-position model. The record is from RNAcentral. RNAcentral also lists the same sequence under 1 other name. Lineage: Eukaryota; Evosea; Eumycetozoa; Stemonitida; Stemonitidae.
UCUGAAUCUGCGUACGGCUCCGCAAACCAGUUGUAAACUAUAGCAAGCAAGCCCGGGAUCGGCCUUCACGGGCUGGUUCCGGGUGAUAUGGAUAACCCUGGUAAUUCUGAGGCUAAUACAUGACCGUAAAACCUAGCUGACCGGCUUCGGCUGGGAUGCUGGGGGACGUGUGAUUUGGGCUUGGUAACACCGGGAAGGGGCGCACGUCUAGACCACGCUAUAAAGGUCGGUUUUCCCUUCGGGGGGGGCUGUCCCAGUGGCUCUUGCUGUGUGCUUCUGACCUAUCAACUAGACGGCAGCGUAAGGGACAUGCUAUGGU